This 484-nucleotide ribosomal RNA is filed under the name uncultured bacterium. Its description in RNAcentral is "partial 16S ribosomal RNA". It matches the Rfam family "Bacterial small subunit ribosomal RNA", at positions 28 to 507 of the family's 1533-position model. The record is from RNAcentral.
AUUGAACGCUGGCGGCAUGCUUUACACAUGCAAGUCGAACGGCAGCGCGGGCUUCGGCCUGGCGGCGAGUGGCGAACGGGUGAGUAAUGCAUCGGAACGUGCCCAGUAGUGGGGGAUAGCCCGGCGAAAGCCGGAUUAAUACCGCAUACGACCUGAGGGUGAAAGCGGGGGACCGAAAGGCCUCGCGCUAUUGGAGCGGCCGAUGUCGGAUUAGCUAGUUGGUGGGGUAAAGGCUUACCAAGGCGACGAUCCGUAGCUGGUCUGAGAGGACGACCAGCCACACUGGGACUGAGACACGGCCCAGACUCCUACGGGAGGCAGCAGUGGGGAAUUUUGGACAAAGGGGGCAGCCCUGAUCCAGCCAUGCCGCGUGCGGGAAGAAGGCCUUCGGGUUGUAAACCGCUUUUGUUCGGGAAGAAAUCCUCUGGGCUAAUACCCCGGGGGGAUGACGGUACCGGAAGAAUAAGCACCGGCUAACUACGUG